This is a long non-coding RNA of Monodelphis domestica (gray short-tailed opossum), 2727 nucleotides long. Lineage: Eukaryota; Metazoa; Chordata; Mammalia; Didelphimorphia; Didelphidae. The record is from Ensembl.
AUGAAUGGGCUCAAUGCGCAUAUAAAGGCUGGGGAGGAGCGAUCAGAAAGGAAUGGAAUUCCAGUCUCCCGCAGGUGGAGGCCAGCCCCGGGGCCGGCCCCGACCGGGAGGAGUAGGACUGGGGAGAGGGCAGAGGUGGGGCCCCGUGACUCUACCAGGAAGCUAGGGUCCAAGGACCAAGCAUUUCCCUGUCCCACCCUGAGAGCCGGAACCUUCGGCGCUGGUAAGUUGGCUUUGACUCUUGGAAGAGUAAGUAAGUGCCUUCUCUGCGGGGCGGGGCGGGGCUCCCUGGCUUCUCAGCCUCUGGGGAGGGGGCCUGCCGGACGGCUCGAGGAAGCGCCCCCUUCCUUCCCCGCCGGGAAACUCCAGGAAGAGGCUUGGAGUGGGAGGGACCGGGGCCGGCGGACUACACCCCCGGCUCUCCUAGAAACCAGCCGGCGACAUUCCGGGAGCCCCAGAGGCAGCCACCAGGCUGGUGGACCCCACAGGAGCCCCAGAGGACAGCAAGACCCCAGGGCGGAGCCAGGUGAGGGGCGCCCCCACCUUCCCCCUCCCCCUCCUCCGCGACUCUCCAGGCCUAACCCACCUCCCAUUCAUCCCCUGCAGCUGAGCCCACAGCCGCUGGUGGCCAGAGCCCUGGGGGAGGCCGGGCCCAAGACCCCACUGGAGCAGGUCACCCGGGAGCGGGACGAUGCCAUUGCCAAGAAGCUGGCAGUAGAAGCCGAGCUGGGCAUCUGCAGGGCCAAACUCCAAGCCUCGGAGAAGCAGUUGCUGGAGGUGGUGGCAGAGAAGCUGAAGCUGAUGGAGGAGAUCGAGGCCUGGAAGGUAGGGCAGGCCCUGGCUUCCCCCAGGGCGAGGAUUUCUGGUGGGGCUCUCUGCUCCCCUCCCAGCCCCGGCCUCCCCCAACCUCCGUCUCUUCCCCAGGAAGACAUGCAGGAGCUGAUCCGCCAACAGAUUCACAGGCAGCUGCAGAGAGAGGGCAGGGCCCCUGCCUCCGAGCCCAGAGCCCCCCGGGCUGGCCUGACCUCCCAUUUCUCCCAGUGGCAGUGGAGAUGGCGGAGGUGAGAGGGCUGGAAGUAGCACUAGUCAGCAGACUGAAGCUCUGGCCAUGGUGUCCACUCCAGGUAGCCGCUGGGUUUGAAGCGUGGCCGGCCGUGGCCCGCAUUUCCAUCCUCCCUUACGGUGGAGCUCUGUUCAUCCCUCCCCUGAGCCUUCCCCUUCUUCCAGAGGGCCAGGCCUUUUCCGCUCUCACCCCCGAGGCUGGGGCUGCCUCGGCCUCUGUGUGGGGAAGAUCUCGUGCUCUUUGAGCCUGUGUUUGAGAAGUCUGGAGAGGAGCCAGUACUCCCCUCUGUGGUCCAGCCACAGGAGGUGGCACCUCAGAGGACCAAGACGGGGCCAGGAGAGGGUUCUUGGAGCUGGAGGAAGUCCCUCGUGGUAUCUCCUUGCUGGAACAGGACUUCCGUGUUGAUCUGUACUAAGUUCUGCCUGUCAUCCUCCACCAGAUGGGUGAGAAGGAACAGCUGUGCCCUGGAGAGUUGAGUGGGAUGAUUUGGUAUCCUGGCUCAGCUGUUGAGCCUCUCCUUCAUCCUUUUAGGCCAAAUCUAGUUCCGUCUCUCCAAGUUCCAGGCCAGCUACGUAGAGCUUUGAAUUCCUUUCCUAACUCUUCUGGCUUUAUGUCUGUAUUUGUCCUUCCUCAGCCCUCCCACUUUCCUUAUUCCCUAUCUCCCAGGCCACUGCCCCGGGGCCCCACGUUUCUCCUCUCUCCUUCCCAUGACCUCAAACUCAAAUAUUUGUCCUGUGCAGCCCCAUCUAUAGAGCCCAGAGAGGGGAAAGGAUUUGCCUAAGAAUUUUUAACUUUCCUAAAUGAAUCCAAGCUGGAUUUGAUAGAGCAACUCUAGAUACAAAUCUUAAACACAUAGACCUCUGAAAGGAUCUUUCUGCUGGAUAGAGAUUGGAGGUGGUAGAUUGCUGGCUCAGGCGUUAACUGAUGCCCUUCUGAAGGCUUUUAAGUGGUCGCCGAUGCCACCCCUCCUGUUCUCACUGCAGGGUUGACCAUGGAGAAGUGAUCUUCAGGGGGUAGUUCCUCAAACCUGGUAUUGAACUAGAAAUCCUCUACUGCUCAAGGACCCACAAUCUCCUCUCAGACUUUGUAGCAAGGUGGGGAGAACAAUAUACCAGAAAUUCCCCUCUGUUCCUACAGGACUACAUUCUCUGCUUCCAACUCCACUGAAGACUCAGAGCCCUAAUCCUUUUUUGACUCCAUGACCUGUCCUGGGGAUUUGAUGGAUCCUUGACACUGAUUGCAGGACUAUGGGAUGCUUCUGACUGUCAAGAAGGCUGAUGCUCUGCCCUCCAGGCCCUAGUGGAUAAACCUCAUCUGCUACAACAUCUGGACCAUGGGCUAUGCUGAUUCCUCUCAUUCUGUUUCUGAUGAAGACCAAGGGGACCCAUCUAAACGGAGGCAGGAGAGCCUGCUGCUCAGUGCUCCUGGUCUCAGACUAGCUGGAAUCAUGGUUGCCUGGGCUCCUCCUUUGUUUCUGGGGCUUGAACUUGGAGUUAGCAGUCUCCCCAACUCCUUAUGCUUGUUGACCCUCCUCCGACCUGGGGGUGCCUACUAGUAGCCUGGGUAUUUGGCAAAGAAUCAAGCUGGUUCAUUCAAUAUUCAUUAAGUAAAUUAUGCUAUGUGCUGGGCAUACCAAGACAAAAUAAAAAGUCUGUCUGGCCUCA